UCACAAAAAGCAUUUAUGGGAGCUUGUCCAAGGCCUGAACCCUUUCCAACACGUUCAACACACUCAUGAGAGCUUGACAGGAUGAAUAAAAAACAUAUUUGGCCCAGCUCAGGUCUUGCGUGUGUGUAUGUAUGUGUGUGUGUGUGUGUGUGUGUGUGUGUGUGUGUGUGUGUGUGUGUGUGUGUGUGUGUGUGUGUGUGUGUGUGUGUGCAA
Molecule: long non-coding RNA, 213 nt
Filed under: Dunaliella salina
Lineage: Eukaryota; Viridiplantae; Chlorophyta; Chlorophyceae; Chlamydomonadales; Dunaliellaceae
Description: long non-coding RNA (DSAL_LNC000400)
Source: RNAcentral